AACGCACAUUGCGCUCCCUGGUAUUCCGGAGAGCACGCCCGUUCCAGUAUCAGUAAAAAUCUCACCCCAUGUUUGGAGUCUUCGGCCUCCAGGCCCAGGGUGGACCAUGGAUUUUUGCGUUUGGCAAUCAUCUCAAACCAAAUGUAUGUACACCAGAGCCUCGGUCUCUCGGUCGUCAAAGUGCAGCAGAUCUAUUUGUGGUCGCUUGGACGGACCGGUUGGACGACUCUGAUGGACGUGCUCGAUGUCUCCAUCACGUUUCUCGAAUCGCAACGGUUCGGGUUCCGUUAACUUGAUCUGGAAUCGGGUGGGAAAACCCGCUGAACUUAA
Molecule: unclassified non-coding RNA, 330 nt
Filed under: uncultured fungus
Lineage: Eukaryota; Fungi
Description: partial contains 5.8S ribosomal RNA, internal transcribed spacer 2, and large subunit ribosomal RNA
Source: RNAcentral